This 701-nucleotide ribosomal RNA is filed under the name Tetrabaena socialis. RNAcentral describes it as "eukaryotic LSU rRNA". The stretch from base 266 to 419 matches the Rfam family "5.8S ribosomal RNA". Lineage: Eukaryota; Viridiplantae; Chlorophyta; Chlorophyceae; Chlamydomonadales; Tetrabaenaceae. The record is from RNAcentral.
CCGGGUUCCGUAGGUGAACCUGCGGAAGGAUCAUUGAAUCUAUCACAAACCACACCCGCGAACCAUAUUUGUUGGCCUCCUUGGGCUUCUUUUAGAGGCACUUGGGCCAGGCGCGUGCACAUACUCGCUAUGUGCCGUGCUUGGGUCGUUGGCCCAUUAAUUUAUUAAUGGGCUGGCGUCGGUCUUUUUACUAACCAACCAACACCAAACCAAAUCAAAUUAAAUCAGAGUGCUUGGCUUAGAGCCAACACUCACCAACCAAGACAACUCUCAACAACGGAUAUCUUGGCUCUCGGAUCGAUGAAGAACGCAGCGAAAUGCGAUACGUAGUGUGAAUUGCAGAAAUACGUGAACCAUCGAAUCUUUGAACGCAAAUUGCGCUCGCGGCUUCGGCCAAGAGCAUGUCUGCCUCAGCGUCGGGUUAAUACUCACCCAACACCCACAUGUGGGUGUUGUGUGGAACUGGCUUUCCCGGGUGAACAACUUGUUGUCCCCCCGGGUCUGCUGAAGUGCAGAGGUUGAUGCAUGGACCCGCUAAUGGGCCUCUACUGGGUAGGCAACUUGUUGCUAUGCUUUAGUGGAUGGCUUGGGACUGUGCUUGUUGACCCUAACCAGGAACUCGGGACUUUGUUCCGAGCAACCCCCCAUUUUCUCGACCUGAGCUCAGGCAAGAUUACCCGCUGAACUUAAGCUAAUGGGAA